UCAGUCAUCAAGUGGGCGGGGGCUUCUGCCUGCUACUGGCUCUUCCUUUUUACAUCCUUCAGCGGGAAUGUGAAAUGCUUCCAACAAGGGUUUCUUUCACUUCUCAUGAAUAGAGAUUCUCCAGCACUUGCCAGGCCGUUACUAAUGGAAAUCAGAGGGAGAAGAUAUUGGCAAUUGCCUGCUGUGCUCGGGCCCUGGGAGAAGGCCAGCUGGGGCUCUGCCGAAAGCGAGGAAGACCGAGAGAUGGAGUACAAGGAUCCUGAAACCUUCUACUGCUUGUUAGAGUCUUCUAGUCCUGUGUAUAGACAGACUGCAGCAAAUUAACAUAGGCUACAACUUCACAUCCUCACAUAAUAACAGCUUCAGCAAAUUGAGAUUCAUUUAAUGGCUUCAGUUUGAAGUCAGGACCCCAAAACCACACAUAUUUAUGAAUAAACAUGUAGGCACACACACAAAUCAGCAGUAUGGACUUGCUUUGUUGUGAGUCUCCACUGAGGGUAAGUCGAAGCCUGCCAUUGGCUGAGGCCGGUCACGUGAUUGCAGAUUACAGCUCGAGGCAGAGCGCAGUUUGUAAGGUUUUCAUAUGGUGUAAAUCAGCUGCUCACCACAGCAUUCCACUCAGCCUUCACUAACAACAACCACAAAAAACAUGAUGAGGUGCCUUACCAUGUCAAAAACCAGCGCUCACUAGAUCCCACUCACCUCCCUCAAAAUCUUCUCUACCAAAAUUACAUUAUUAAUGCCUUGUCACGUGUUAGGCCUUGUCUACAGUUUCAGGAGGGUUUAUAUUCACAUAUGUGUUGCUAAUCAAUUCAUGAUCAUGUAUAUAUUUACAUGUAUGCUUAUAUCCAUGGGUCCCCCUGCUUUGGGCCUGAUGAGUGGGUUAUAUGAUACAGUAUAUCACAGUUGUCCCCCUAAAGACGGUCCUGUUGAUUCAUGACCUAUAUUUGAACAUCACAUAUGUACCAGUAUGAGUUAAUAUUUUUUGACCCAAGAAUUGAACGGAAUAAUUUGAGAUCUGGGUAAAUUUUGUUCACAAAAUGUUUUUUUUUUGAUACAUCAGACAUGGACAAAUGACAUUUUAAAUUUACGGAAAUUACAGAUUCCUUUUGUAGUAUUACUUAACACUUAUGUCAAUGAUGUAGUUUUCAGUGUUAUAGAUUUAAAAAAAUUCAAUAAAUAAAAUGAACUUCAGUGAUA
Molecule: long non-coding RNA, 1200 nt
Organism: Carassius carassius (crucian carp)
Lineage: Eukaryota; Metazoa; Chordata; Actinopteri; Cypriniformes; Cyprinidae
Exons: 2
Source: RefSeq, a predicted model, not a curated record